CAGCAGGCGCGAAAACUUUACAAUGCCGGCAACGGCGAUAAGGGAACCUCGAGUGCCAGGUUACAAAUCUGGCUGUCGUGAUGCCUAAAAAGCAUUGCAUAGCAAGGGCCGGGCAAGACCGGUGCCAGCCGCCGCGGUAACACCGGCGGCUCGAGUGGUAACCGUUAUUAUUGGGUCUAAAGGGUCUGUAGCCGGCCGGAUAAGUCUCUUGGGAAAUCUGGCAGCUUAACUGUCAGGCUUUCAGGAGAUACUGUCUGGCUCGAGGCCGGGAGAGGUGAGAGGUACUUCAGGGGUAGGGGUGAAAUCUUGUAAUCCUUGAAGGACCACCAGUGGCGAAGGCGUCUCACCAGAACGGACCUGACGGCAAGGGACGAAAGCUAGGGGCACGAACCGGAUUAGAUACCCGGGUAGUCCUAGCCGUAAACGAUACUCGCUAGGUGUCGGCCACGGUGCGACCGUGGUCGGUGCCGUAGGGAAGCCGUGAAGCGAGCCACCUGGGAAGUACGGCCGCAAGGCGGAAACUUAAAGGAAUUGGCGGGGGAGC
RNAcentral lists this ribosomal RNA (544 nucleotides) under uncultured archaeon. Its description in RNAcentral is "bacterial SSU rRNA". It matches the Rfam family "Archaeal small subunit ribosomal RNA", at positions 333 to 877 of the family's 1478-position model. The record is from RNAcentral.